This 1343-nucleotide ribosomal RNA is filed under the name uncultured bacterium. RNAcentral's name for it is "16S ribosomal RNA". It matches the Rfam family "Bacterial small subunit ribosomal RNA", at positions 28 to 1378 of the family's 1533-position model. The record is from RNAcentral.
GACGAACGCUGGCGGCGUGCUUAACACAUGCAAGUCGAACGGAAAGGCCCUGCUUUUGUGGGGUGCUCGAGUGGCGAACGGGUGAGUAACACGUGAGUAACCUGCCCUUGACUUUGGGAUAACUUCAGGAAACUGGGGCUAAUACCGGAUAGGAGCUCCUGCUGCAUGGUGGGGGUUGGAAAGUUUCGGCGGUUGGGGAUGGACUCGCGGCUUAUCAGCUUGUUGGUGGGGUAGUGGCUUACCAAGGCUUUGACGGGUAGCCGGCCUGAGAGGGUGACCGGCCACGUUGGGACUGAGAUACGGCCCAGACUCCUACGGGAGGCAGCAGUGGGGAAUAUUGCACAAUGGGCGGAAGCCUGAUGCAGCAACGCCGCGUGCGGGAUGACGGCCUUCGGGUUGUAAACCGCUUUCGCCUGUGACGAAGCGUGAGUGACGGUAAUGGGUAAAGAAGCACCGGCUAACUACGUGCCAGCAGCCGCGGUGAUACGUAGGGUGCGAGCGUUGUCCGGAUUUAUUGGGCGUAAAGGGCUCGUAGGUGGUUGAUCGCGUCGGAAGUGUAAUCUUGGGGCUUAACCCUGAGCGUGCUUUCGAUACGGGUUGACUUGAGGAAGGUAGGGGAGAAUGGAAUUCCUGGUGGAGCGGUGGAAUGCGCAGAUAUCAGGAGGAACACCAGUGGCGAAGGCGGUUCUCUGGGCCUUUCCUGACGCUGAGGAGCGAAAGCGUGGGGAGCGAACAGGCUUAGAUACCCUGGUAGUCCACGCUGUAAACGGUGGGUACUAGGUGUGGGGUCCAUUCCACGGGUUCCGUGCCGUAGCUAACGCUUUAAGUACCCCGCCUGGGGAGUACGGCCGCAAUGCUAAAACUCAAAGGAAUUGACGGGGCCCCGCACAAGCGGCGGAGCAUGCUGAUUAAUUCGAUGCAACGCGUAGAACCUUACCUGGGUUUGACAUGGAUCGGGAGUGCUCAGAGAUGGGUGUGCCUCUUUUGGGGUCGGUUCACAGGUGGUGCAUGCCUGUCGUCAGCUCGUGUCGUGAGAUGUUGGGUUAAGUCCCGCAACGAGCGCAACCCUUGUUCACUGUUGCCAGCACGUUAUGGUGGGGACUCAGUGGAGACCGCCGGGGUCAACUCGGAGGAAGGUGGGGAUGACGUCAAGUCCUCAUGCCCCUUAUGUCCAGGGCUUCACGCAUGCUACAAUGGCUGGUACAGAGAGUGGCGAGCCUGUGAGGGUGAGCGAAUCUCGGAAAGCCGGUCUCAGUUCGGAUUGGGGUCUGCAACUCGACCUCAUGAAGUCGGAGUCGCUAGUAAUCGCAGAUCAGCAACGCUGCGGUGAAUACGUUCCCGGG